CCGGAGUCUCCUUUUCCCGGCCCCGCCCACUACGCUGGUUUUUCUGGUUGUCUCGGUUGCUGGGUGUGUUAUUGGACCCGCAAAUUUAAAGAAGCUUCUGGUCCUGACUUUCAGGAGCUGCCAAUACUUUACUAUUUUUCAAGUGCCAGUCCCUGAUAGGUGCGAGCCGGUUCUGCUUCCUGGAGAGGAGGAGACGUCUCCUUAAAGAAGAAAGGCACUGAUCAGCUGGGCAGGAUUUUACUUCAACUCCGAAAAUAGGUCUGGAACGGCCUAGGGACCUGGUGCUCCGUGCAGACUUGUUCGCACCACUGGGGAGCUCACACCCUGAUGGGAAACUUGCAGUCUGCUCAAGGUACUUGAAUAUAGAAUUGUGCCCAGAAAGCGGAGAAGAUGAGUUUUUGACCCAACCUGAGGUUCCGGCAAUGGGAGAUCGGACUCUAUUUAGGGCGUCUACAGAGACAGGAUAAGAGAAAAUCAUGAAGAUACUAUUCUAAUUUUGUACUUCUUCCCCCACCCUCAUGCUGUCCUCUAAUUGAAGGCUACUUUUUUGAAGAUGGUACUUCCUCCAGGACUUUACAGACCUUCUUCCCCCGUCAAGCCUAAGUUAGAGACUGCUUCUGAUCCAUAGGAACCUACACUUUUCCACUGACGAUGAGCUGGUCUCUAUAAACUCUUCUCGCCUGUUUAUUCUGAUGACAUCAGUUACCAUGCUGUGAGGUGCCCAGUGGAGAGGCCCACGUGGCAAGAAACUGAAGGAGGCCUCAGGCCAAAAGCCAGUUAAAGAAAUGAGGCCCUCAGCCCAACAGCCUGUGAGAAACUAAAUCUUCCAAUACCCCUUAAGUGCACCUGAAAGCAGAUCCUCCUAAGUGGAUUUGUGAGGUGACUGCAGCCCCAGCCAACAACUGACCAUGACCUAUGAGAGAUCCUGAGCCAGAGGGCUCAGUUAAGCCGCUGGAUUUCUGACCACAGAAAAUGUGUGACAAUAAAUAUUUGUUGUUUUGCCCUAAA
Myotis myotis is the source of this 1008-nucleotide long non-coding RNA. RefSeq lists it as uncharacterized. NCBI's taxonomy places the organism in Eukaryota, Metazoa, Chordata, Mammalia, Chiroptera, Vespertilionidae. The record is from RefSeq and is a predicted model, not a curated record. The transcript has 3 exons.